AAGUCGUAACAAGGUUUCCGUAGGUGAACCUGCGGAAGGAUCAUUACAUUCAGUAGCCUAGCUACUUGUUUACACCCUUGUUUUUUUUGCGCACUUCACUGUAUCCCUCGGCGGGCUUGCUCGCCGGUUGGACAACAUUUAUAACCUUUUUUAAUCUUCAAUCAGCGUCUGAAUUAUAUUUAAUAAUUACAACUUUCAACAACGGAUCUCUUGGUUCUG
RNAcentral lists this unclassified non-coding RNA (219 nucleotides) under Phaeosphaeria podocarpi. Its description in RNAcentral is "partial internal transcribed spacer region". The stretch from base 1 to 46 matches the Rfam family "Eukaryotic small subunit ribosomal RNA", at positions 1786 to 1831 of the family's 1831-position model. Lineage: Eukaryota; Fungi; Ascomycota; Dothideomycetes; Pleosporales; Phaeosphaeriaceae. The record is from RNAcentral.